GUCUUAAAUACAAAAUGAAUGGAAUACAAAAUAACCUCCCUCAUUGUUUUUUUUCCCGGACAAAUGACAGGAUGCAUACAGAACUGCUACUUUUGUGAUGUUGCAAGUAAUGGUAUAGAUGUGCACAAAUCAUGGAUGUGGUCCCAGUGAUCCAUGGAAAUGUGAAGUCCAGACAUGCCUUUUGCCUUCUGCCAUGAUUGUGAGGCCUCCCCAGCCAUGUGGAA
This 224-nucleotide long non-coding RNA is filed under the name Homo sapiens (human). RNAcentral's name for it is "HSALNT0407569". Lineage: Eukaryota; Metazoa; Chordata; Mammalia; Primates; Hominidae. The record is from RNAcentral.